GGGGCAGCAUGAGUGUAGCAAUACACUUGAUGGCGACCGGCAAACGGGUGCGGAACACGUACAGAACCUUCCUUCGAGCGGGGAAUAGCCCAGAGAAAUUUGGAUUAAUACCCCAUAGUAUUAUGAAGUGGCAUCACUUUAUAAUUAAAGAUUUAUCACUUGAAGAUGGCUGUGCGGCUGAUUAGGUAGUUGGCGGGGUAACGGCCCACCAAGCCUACGAUCAGUAACUGGUGUGAGAGCACGACCAGUCACACGGGCACUGAGACACGGGCCCGACUCCUACGGGAGGCAGCAGUAAGGAAUAUUGGUCAAUGGACGAAAGUCUGAACCAGCCAUGCCGCGUGGAGGAUGAAGGUCCUCUGGAUUGUAAACUUCUUUUAUCUGGGACGAAAAAAGGCUUUUCUAAGUCGUCUGACGGUACCAGAUGAAUAAGCACCGGCUAACUCCGUGCCAGCAGCCGCGGUAAUACGGAGGGUGCAAGCGUUAUCCGGAUUCACUGGGUUUAAAGGGUGCGUAGGUGGGUUGGUAAGUCAGUGGUGAAAUCCCCGAGCUUAACUUGGGAACUGCCAUUGAUACUAUCAGUCUUGAAUACCGUGGAGGUCAGCGGAAUAUGUCAUGUAGCGGUGAAAUGCUUAGAUAUGACAUAGAACACCAAUUGCGAAGGCAGCUGGCUACACGAAUAUUGACACUGAGGCACGAAAGCGUGGGGAUCAAACAGGAUUAGAUACCCUGGUAGUCCACGCCCUAAACUAUGGAUACUCGACAUUUGCGAUACACUGCAAGUGUCUGAGCGAAAGCAUU
This 801-nucleotide ribosomal RNA is filed under the name uncultured bacterium. RNAcentral describes it as "bacterial SSU rRNA". It matches the Rfam family "Bacterial small subunit ribosomal RNA", at positions 66 to 861 of the family's 1533-position model. The record is from RNAcentral.